RNAcentral lists this small RNA (707 nucleotides) under Pan troglodytes (chimpanzee). RNAcentral's name for it is "retained intron". Lineage: Eukaryota; Metazoa; Chordata; Mammalia; Primates; Hominidae. The record is from RNAcentral.
GGUUUAUCAGUGUUUAAUUUGAUGAAUGCCAUCAUGGGAAGUGGCAUCCUUGGCUUAGCUUAUGUUAUGGCUAAUACCGGUGUCUUUGGAUUUAGCUUCUUGCUGCUGACAGUUGCUCUCCUGGCUUCUUACUCAGUCCAUCUUCUGCUUAGUAUGUGUAUUCAGACAGCCUACUUGGGCCCAUGAACUAACUACUUCAUGGUUCUGCCUGCACAUUGACUCACCUGUCUUCCGUUGAUUGAAUUCCUUCAAUCUUUGUAAAAUUCUCUGUGGAGGUAGGCUUUUCCUUUUUUUUUUUUUUUCAAUACAUACAUUCAUAUAUAAAGACUAGAGUAUAAUACAUAACUAACUCUCUUCCAACAGUUUGUUGGACUGUCAUAAAGGAUUAUUAUGCUCAGAUUGAAUUCAUUGGUAAGAGAAAGAGCUAUCAUGAGUUUUUAUGAAAUAACUUCUUCAUUUAUUUGCUGGUGGUAAAGGGUAAAGAGAAAUUUUCAUCUUUAUAAAAGUAAAGGAUUUCUUCACAUGAAAUUCUACUUUAGAUUUUAUGGAGAGUUUGGGGUCUAUCAGGACUUUUCAUGGGAGCUGAGGUGGAAUGUAAAGAACCUUAUUCUCUCUAGCCUUUGUUUGUCAUCUGUAAAAUGGCAAUGAUAACACUUCCUUCUUGGAAUUGUUCUGAGAAUGAAAUAAAAUAAUGUAUAUGAAAUGUC